This 95-nucleotide transfer RNA is filed under the name Pseudomonas fluorescens. RNAcentral's name for it is "tRNA-Glu". The record is from RNAcentral. Lineage: Bacteria; Pseudomonadati; Pseudomonadota; Gammaproteobacteria; Pseudomonadales; Pseudomonadaceae.
GCACCGGCGGAUUGCGCGGCCAUAAUUGCGGCUCUUCAAGCUGCCGCGCCUGGGCUGGCAAGGUCAUGCCGUCGUUCAACUCGACGCCGUCGCGC